AAGAAAGUGGCAGAGUGGUUAUGCAGUUGGCUUGAAACCAGCUAAUGGGGGUUCAAUUCCUUCCUUUCUUG
This is a non-coding RNA of Lepisosteus oculatus (spotted gar), 71 nucleotides long. Lineage: Eukaryota; Metazoa; Chordata; Actinopteri; Semionotiformes; Lepisosteidae. The record is from Ensembl.